This 769-nucleotide ribosomal RNA is filed under the name uncultured bacterium. Its description in RNAcentral is "bacterial SSU rRNA". It matches the Rfam family "Bacterial small subunit ribosomal RNA", at positions 8 to 796 of the family's 1533-position model. The record is from RNAcentral.
AGAGUUUGAUCAUGGCUCAGGACGAACGCUGGCGGCGUGCUUAACACAUGCAAGUCGAACGGUGAAGCCUUCGGGUGGAUCAGUGGCGAACGGGUGAGUAACACGUGGGCAAUCUGCCCUGCACUCUGGGACAAGCCCUGGAAACGGGGUCUAAUACCGGAUAAUACCUUCUCCUGCAUGGGGGUGGGUUGAAAGCUCCGGCGGUGCAGGAUGAGCCCGCGGCCUAUCAGCUUGUUGGUGGGGUAAUGGCCUACCAAGGCGACGACGGGUAGCCGGCCUGAGAGGGCGACCGGCCACACUGGGACUGAGACACGGCCCAGACUCCUACGGGAGGCAGCAGUGGGGAAUAUUGCACAAUGGGCGAAAGCCUGAUGCAGCGACGCCGCGUGAGGGAUGACGGCCUUCGGGUUGUAAACCUCUUUCAGCAGGGAAGAAGCGCAAGUGACGGUACCUGCAGAAGAAGCGCCGGCUAACUACGUGCCAGCAGCCGCGGUAAUACGUAGGGCGCAAGCGUUGUCCGGAAUUAUUGGGCGUAAAGAGCUCGUAGGCGGCUUGUCACGUCGGGUGUGAAAGCCCGGGGCUUAACCCCGGGUCUGCAUUCGAUACGGGCUAGCUAGAGUGUGGUAGGGGAGAUCGGAAUUCCUGGUGUAGCGGUGAAAUGCGCAGAUAUCAGGAGGAACACCGGUGGCGAAGGCGGAUCUCUGGGCCAUUACUGACGCUGAGGAGCGAAAGCGUGGGGAGCGAACAGGAUUAGAUACCCUAGUAGUCC